Molecule: long non-coding RNA, 481 nt
Filed under: Brassica napus (rape)
Lineage: Eukaryota; Viridiplantae; Streptophyta; Magnoliopsida; Brassicales; Brassicaceae
Description: long non-coding RNA (BNAP_LNC011961)
Source: RNAcentral
AAAGUAUGUAUGGCAGCAUAAAUUUACAAUAUUCGUAAAUAACAUUAAUUAUUCAAAAGACACUAGGUGCAAGUGCAGCUCCCCUUUUGUGAACUACACAAAUAUUAGACAAAGGAUAAAACCAAAAGUUUUGACAUUAUUCAGUUUAAAUGUUAUUUAUAGUUUUCUUCCCUAUAUUUACAUUUAAAAAUCAUUCUGCAUUAGUAUUUCAUUAUGUAACCAUUAACUGCUAAUAGCACCAUGAGUUUUUCUGAUACUUUAAACGAUUUUUCUAAAUUACACAUAUCAGCAAUGAUCUUUUACUGCUGAGCAUGUGCCAGACCCAUUACCUAAAAAAAAAUCAAAUUACUACACGUUGCAGUGUUUUUUUUUUUCUUCGGAAAAUCAAGAAAUCAACCAAAUGUGGAUACAAUCAAGUAAUCAACAACAAAAAAAUCGUUUCUCUUCCACAUGUCAUAACGCGAGCUACUAAAGCCAAUCA